This is a long non-coding RNA of Gordionus sp. m RMFG-2023, 731 nucleotides long. RefSeq lists it as uncharacterized. NCBI's taxonomy places the organism in Eukaryota, Metazoa, Nematomorpha, Gordioida, Chordodea, Parachordodidae. The transcript has 4 exons. The record is from RefSeq and is a predicted model, not a curated record.
UAAAUGUAACAUAAUAAUCCAACCAUUCCUCCUAAUAAAGGAAAGUUAAACUCGACAUAAAUUUAAAGAGGGAGAAAAGACCAAUCUACAAUGUGAUAGGCUGUAUAAAUGGAGAUAUAGAACCUGACAGAUAUAUCCAAGACCCUAAGUGGAAACCCUGAUAUAGGAGAGUUAGGUAGCGGGAGCGAUUUUUUCCCUUUCAUGUAUUAUGCCGGUGUGACUUCUAUGGAUAUACGUUAUGUGUAUAAUAAGAUUUGCUACCACCUCCACUCCCCAAACAUUAUUCAAUAUUGAACUAAGAAGUCAUUUUCCGACCUCGUUGCCUAUUGAAAAUAUACCUAUAUAGAAGAUAUGAAUAUACCGAAUUAUCCUUUGUACCAUACUAGAUAUGACACUUUUACAAUGUUCACAAGCACAUAUAUCCAGAAUUUAUUUAUCACAAAGCGGCAAGUCAGUUAAUAGCUAUACUAGUUCAUUACUUGUCUGAUUCUCAAAUCGUGCCCCUAUCACCUGCCUCUUAUGGAUAUUCCUUAACGAAAUUCUAUAGAAAUAUAAUUAAAGACUUCAGCACCCUGGAAUUCAAUAGGAUAUGCAUGAAUGAUCUUAUGGCUGCCAUAACAUAUUUCGAUAGUAAGAUGACAAUUUUCCAAAUGAAUUCACUAUUACCGUCCUUCACCAACACCACUUCGUCAAAUACACAAAAUUAUUCGGUCAUACAGACUCGUUCAUUG